RNAcentral lists this ribosomal RNA (519 nucleotides) under uncultured Saprospiraceae bacterium. Its description in RNAcentral is "bacterial SSU rRNA". It matches the Rfam family "Bacterial small subunit ribosomal RNA", at positions 93 to 608 of the family's 1533-position model. The record is from RNAcentral. Lineage: Bacteria; Pseudomonadati; Bacteroidota; Saprospiria; Saprospirales; Saprospiraceae.
GACCGGCAAACGGGUGCGGAACACGUACAGAACCUACCUUCGAGCGGGGGAUAGCCCAGAGAAAUUUGGAUUAAUACCCCAUAGUAUAUUUGGAUGGCAUCAUUUGAAUAUUAAAGAUUUAUCACUUGAAGAUGGCUGUGCGUAUGAUUAGGUAGUUGGCGGGGUAACGGCCCACCAAGCCUACGAUCAUUAACUGGUGUGAGAGCACGACCAGUCACACGGGCACUGAGACACGGGCCCGACUCCUACGGGAGGCAGCAGUAAGGGAAUCAUUGGUCAAUGGACGCAAGUCUGAACCAGCCAUGCCGCGUGGAGGAUGAAGGUCCUCUGGAUUGUAAACUUCUUUUAUCUGGGACGAAAAAAGGGAAUUCUUUCCCGUCUGACGGUACCAGAUGAAUAAGCACCGGCUAACUCCGUGCCAGCAGCCGCGGUAAUACGGAGGGUGCAAGCGUUAUCCGGAUUCACUGGGUUUAAAGGGUGCGUAGGCGGGUAUGUAAGUCCGUGGUGAAAUCUCCGAGC